Molecule: transfer RNA, 73 nt
Filed under: Paramuricea clavata
Lineage: Eukaryota; Metazoa; Cnidaria; Anthozoa; Malacalcyonacea; Plexauridae
Rfam family: tRNA
About the family: Transfer RNA (tRNA) molecules are approximately 80 nucleotides in length. Their secondary structure includes four short double-helical elements and three loops (D, anti-codon, and T loops).
Source: Rfam by way of RNAcentral
GCCUCAUUAGCUCAAGCUUUAGAGCACUGGUCUAGUAAACCAGUUGUCCAGAUUUCAAAUCUCUGAUGAGGCU